CAUGGUUGUCGUCAGCUCGUGUCGUGAGAUGUUGGUUAAGUCCCGCAACGAGCGCAACCCUUAUUGCUAGUUACCAUCAUUGAGUUGGGGACGUCUAGCGAGACUGCCAGUGAUAAACUGGAGGAAGGUGGGGAUGACGUCAAAUCAUCAUGCCCCUUAUGACCUGGGCUACAAACGUGAUACAAUGGCUGAAACAGAGGGAGGCGAAGGGGUGACCUGGAGCGAAACCCAGAAAAACAGUCUCAGUUCGGAUUGAAGUCUGCAACUCGACUUCAUGAAGUCGGAAUCGCUAGUAAUCGCGGAUCAGAACGCCGCGGUGAAUACGUUCUCGGGGUUU
Molecule: ribosomal RNA, 337 nt
Filed under: uncultured Acholeplasma sp.
Lineage: Bacteria; Bacillati; Mycoplasmatota; Mollicutes; Acholeplasmatales; Acholeplasmataceae
Description: bacterial SSU rRNA
Rfam family: Bacterial small subunit ribosomal RNA
Source: RNAcentral